Molecule: ribosomal RNA, 460 nt
Filed under: uncultured bacterium
Lineage: Bacteria
Description: partial 16S ribosomal RNA
Rfam family: Bacterial small subunit ribosomal RNA
Source: RNAcentral
CCUACGGGUGGCAGCAGUGAGGAAUAUUGGUCAAUGGACGAGAGUCUGAACCAGCCAAGUAGCGUGAAGGAUGACUGCCCUAUGGGUUGUAAACUUCUUUUAUAUGGGAAUAAAAUGUUCCACGUGUGGGAUUUUGUAUGUACCAUAUGAAUAAGGAUCGGCUAACUCCGUGCCAGCAGCCGCGGUAAUACGGAGGAUCCGAGCGUUAUCCGGAUUUAUUGGGUUUAAAGGGAGCGUAGGUGGAUUGUUAAGUCAGUUGUGAAAGUUUGCGGCUCAACCGUAAAAUUGCAGUUGAAACUGGCAGUCUUGAGUACAGUAGAGGUGGGCGGAAUUCGUGGUGUAGCGGUGAAAUGCAUAGAUAUCACGCAGAACUCCGAUUGCGAAGGCAGCUUACUAAGCCAUAACUGACACUGAAGCACGAAAGCGUGGGGAUCAAACAGGAUUAGAUACCCCAGUAGUC